AUUCAAGCAGCAGCCAAGUGCCAGCGGUCAAGCCAACACAUCACACAUUCUCUUGACAUCUUACCAUUGCCUUGCCUCCUCUGUUUCCUCAGCUCACUCUAAUUCGGCGAUUCCUAACGUUGUGGGUGAGCAGCGCGCACGCUCUUUAGCUGGUGACGGUAAAGUCUUUUAUCUACUUCUCCCCAUGCCUCCUACGUGCUUGUGAAAAUUACCCUAUGGCUAAAACUUAGUGAUUCACACGAAAGCUGGCAACUUAAUGACUUAGAGGCAAGAUGGUUUCAUCCCUCUAUUAUCUGACGAUGGAAUCUGCUCGCAACUACAUUACCCACGUUGGGUUGUGGGGUUUAAUUUCAUUGGUCUUGUUCUAGUUGUGGAUGAUAUGCUUGAAUGAUAGCUGCCUCUCAAAUACCAUCUUUACUAUUCUCUGUCCGUUGACAAUUUUGGCGCGGGGGGGAAUGCUCAUUUAAGUGUGAAAAUGGUAUUGAUGAGUGUUGGGCAUAUCAUAAUUCUGACAGAAGAUGCAGUAGUUUUCGAUUCUUUCUUCUGCUUUGAAGCUUAUAUAUCCCAUUUUCAGGAAAAAAAAACCUGUGUGACAUGUGUCUCUAUAGAAAGUAUCACGGGGAUAUCCGUUGGAGUUUUGUAGAUCCAACUAUGUAAGCUCGAUCAAUGAAAGUGAGCAGAAGUGUCCUAUAUUUUUGGAGAUGUGGACAUUUCCCUUUGUCUUGAGAGUGAUGCGAAGACAUAGAGAUAAGUAUCAUUGCAACUCUCUUCCAUAUGCUGAAUCUCUCUGCCCUUUAUUCUCCACAAAUGCUCUGCAACUCGAAUCAGAUUUCAUUGGAGUUGAGAAGGAAGAGAGGCAUUUUGAUCUUUUGAUCCGGUCUCACACAAAAAUGGAUCAUGCGAAGUGUCAUCAUGCUCAGCUUUUAGUAUCAGGGAAAGCUCAAAAUAAGUUCUUCUCCACCAGACUAGUGAAUCUUUAUUUACAUCUUGGUGAUGUCUUCUUAUCUCGAUGCACCUUCAAUUGGAUUCCAAAGAAGGAUGUCUUCGUAUGGAACUGUAUGAUGUCUGCUUAUGUCCGUUGUGGUUUUUUCAGUGCUGCUAUAAAUUGUUACCGCAAGUUUAUUAUAUCCUCUGAUCUUCGACCUGAUUUCUAUACUUUUCCUCCGUUGCUGAAAGCUUGUGGAAAUGUAUUGGAAGGAAAAAGGUUCCAUUGCUCAAUUAUGAAGCUGGGUUUUCAAUCUGACGUAUUCGUUGCUGCUUCCUUGGUACACAUGUAUGCUCGACAUGGCUACUUAGGUGUUGCUCGUCAGGUAUUUGAUGAUAUGCCAUUCCGAGAUACAGGCUCAUGGAAUGCAAUGAUUUCUGGGUAUUGUCAGAAUGGAAAUGCUGCUGAAGCACUGGAUAUUUUGUCUGCUAUGAGGUCGCAAGGAAUAAAGAUGGAUUCUAUAACUGUAUGCAGUCUCCUUGCCAUUUGUGCUCAGUUUGAUGAUGCAUUGAGUGGGAUAUUGAUUCAUCUAUACGUCAUUAAGCAUGGGUUGGAAUUUGAUUUAUUCGUGAAUAAUGCUCUAAUAAACAUGUAUGCCAAGUUCAGUAAAUUGGGAGAUGCCCAACAAAUAUUUGAGAGCAUGGUGGUAAAAGAUGUAGUCUCAUGGAACUCAAUUAUUGCCGCAUAUGAACAGAAUAAUGAUCCAGUUACUGCAUGUUUGUUUUUUAAGGAGAUGCAGUCAACUGGUUUAAAGCCUGAUUUGUUGACAGUAGUUAGUUUAGCUUCAACCUUUGCUCAGGUAAAUGAUUCGCGAAAUAGCAAGUCUCUUCACUGUUGCACUCUCAGGAGGGGUUGGCUUUUGGAGGAUGUAGUACUUGGAAAUGCAGUUGUGGACAUGUAUGCAAAAUUGGGCUAUGUAGAUUAUGCACUUCAAGUGUUUGAAGAACUCCCUGCCAAAGAUGUUAUUUCAUGGAACACUUUAAUUACAGGUUACGCUCAGAAUGGUCUUGCAAGUGAAGCAAUUGAAGCAUACCACCUGAUGGAAGAGUGUGGAGGGAUAACUCCAAAUGAAGGAACUUGGGUGAGUAUUCUCACAGCUUGUGCUAGCGCUGGAGCUUUAAAAGAAGGCAUGAGAAUUCAUGCACUCAUUAUUAGAAAUGGCCUUGUAGCAGAUGUCUUUGUGGGGACCUGCCUUAUCGACAUGUACGGGAAAUGCGGGAGACUUGAUGACGCGAUGUCAUUAUUCUACAAUAUUCCUAGAAAUACUUCAGUCCCAUGGAAUGCCAUCAUAUCUUGCCAUGGUCUUCAUGGGCAUGGUGACAAAGCUUUAAAAUUAUUUGAAGAAAUGCAAAAAGAGGGAGUUGAGCCAGAUCAUAUAACCUUUGUAUCCUUAUUGUCUGCUUGCAGCCAUGCUGGUUUGGUUAAUGAGGGUCAAUUUAGCUUUCAGGUGAUGCAGGAACAGUAUAGGAUUAAACCAGGUUUAAAGCAUUAUGGCUGCAUGGUUGAUUUGCUUGCUAGAGCAGGUUUGAUAGAAAAGGCAUAUGAUUUCAUCCAAAACAUGCCUAUACGUCCUGAUGCUUCCAUAUGGGGCGCUCUUCUUGGUGCAUGUAGAAUACAUGAAAAUGCUGAAUUGGGGACCUUAGCUUCGGACCGCUUGUUUGAGGUUGAUCCAGAGAAUGUUGGUUAUUACGUUCUAUUGUCUAAUAUAUAUGCCAAUGCUGGGAAAUGGGAUGUAAUGGGCAAAGUCAGAUCAUUUGCUAGAGACAGGGGCUUGAGGAAAACUCCUGGUUGGAGUUCAAUCGAAGUGAAUAAUACUUUUGAGGUCUUCUACACUGGCAACCAAACCCAUCCAAAAUAUGAGGAGAUCUAUAAUGAAUUGAGGAUUCUGACUGCAAAAAUGAAAGGCCUGGGUUACAUUCCUGAUUAUAGAUUUGUGUUGCAAGAUGUCGAGGAUGAUGAAAAGGAGGAUAUUCUUACAAGUCACAGUGAGCGAUUGGCCAUUGCAUUUGGAAUCAUCAGCACCUUUCCUAAAUCUCCACUUCGAAUCUUCAAGAACCUGCGUGUUUGUGGCGAUUGCCACAUUGCCACAAAGCUCAUAUCUGUGAUUACAGAGAGGGAUAUUAUUGUGAGAGAUUCAAACCGUUUCCAUCACUUCAAGGAUGGCAUUUGUUCAUGCGGAGAUUACUGGUGAAUUGAAUUAUUGUUGUUGCUAUUUGGUUUGGUCAACUCUCUCGUGAAUUCAUGAGAAUGCUUAUUGGUUCCACACUAUACUUGCAAAAUGCCUCCUUUGCCAGUGCAGUGGUGUACAUCGUGUGGAAUGAUAUAAAGCAGAAUUUCUGAUUAUUCCUGUGAAGGUCUGUCGCUACCGUACUCAAGUGACUAUUAAAGGGAAUGUUUGACAGUGUGUUCUUAUGCUUGUUCAUGUUUCUUCGAAGGAAGUAGCAGCUUCUAUAGCCUCUCUUCAGGAAGAGUUCACGGGCAGAAGCACUUGUUCUCUCUGACACUAAUUCCUCAAAAACACUGGCUUUAUUCGAGGUGCUUUCACAUAUGUUUUUUGGCCUCAUCUCUCUUUUGAGAUAACUCAGUUGACCAUAGUUGCAGGCUUGAGGGUGAGAACGAGCAAAGAUUGUUGCACUGGGGAGACUAGGCUGAAAAACGAAAAUGUGCAUUUGGAAAGGGACAUCUGCCAGAAUAGAUGCCAUUAGACUACUGUCUGUCCAGUUCAGUCGUAUUAUCUAUAGCAACACCUAUCAUGAACUUGCAUGUGUCUUCAAGUAGGAUAUGGAGGAGGCCCUGAGUACAUAACUCUCCAUCUCUAAUAUCAUUAUAUAAAAAGACGGAAGUGGUAAGCGUCCUUCUUUGUCUCUAUUGCA
RNA transcript from Syzygium oleosum, 3858 nucleotides. It is a transcript of the gene named pentatricopeptide repeat-containing protein At4g33990, with no coding region annotated. The transcript has 3 exons. The record is from RefSeq and is a predicted model, not a curated record. Lineage: Eukaryota; Viridiplantae; Streptophyta; Magnoliopsida; Myrtales; Myrtaceae.